This 901-nucleotide ribosomal RNA is filed under the name Fusarium lichenicola. RNAcentral's name for it is "LSU rRNA". It matches the Rfam family "Eukaryotic large subunit ribosomal RNA", at positions 34 to 965 of the family's 3401-position model. The record is from RNAcentral. Lineage: Eukaryota; Fungi; Ascomycota; Sordariomycetes; Hypocreales; Nectriaceae.
UUAAGCAUAUCAAUAAGCGGAGGAAAAGAAACCAACAGGGAUUGCCCUAGUAACGGCGAGUGAAGCGGCAACAGCUCAAAUUUGAAAUCUGGCUCUCGGGCCCGAGUUGUAAUUUGUAGAGGAUGCUUUUGGUGCGGUGCCUUCCGAGUUCCCUGGAACGGGACGCCAUAGAGGGUGAGAGCCCCGUCUGGUUGGAUGCCAAUCCUCUGUAAAGCUCCUUCGACGAGUCGAGUAGUUUGGGAAUGCUGCUCUAAAUGGGAGGUAUAUGUCUUCUAAAGCUAAAUACCGGCCAGAGACCGAUAGCGCACAAGUAGAGUGAUCGAAAGAUGAAAAGAACUUUGAAAAGAGAGUUAAAAAGUACGUGAAAUUGUUGAAAGGGAAGCGCUUGUGACCAGACUUGGGCUUGGUUGAUCAUCCAGGGUUCUCCCUGGUGCACUCUUCCGGCUCAGGCCAGCAUCAGUUUGCCUCGGGGGAUAAAGGCUUCGGGAAUGUGGCUCUCUCCGGGGAGUGUUAUAGCCCGCUGCGUAAUACCCUGUGGCGGACUGAGGUUCGCGCAUUCGCAAGGAUGCUGGCGUAAUGGUCAUCAGUGACCCGUCUUGAAACACGGACCAAGGAGUCGUCUUCGUAUGCGAGUGUUCGGGUGUCAAACCCCUACGCGAAAUGAAAGUGAACGCAGGUGAGAGCUUCGGCGCAUCAUCGACCGAUCCUGAUGUUCUCGGAUGGAUUUGAGUAAGAGCAUACGGAGCCGGACCCGAAAGAAGGUGAACUAUGCCUGUGUAGGGUGAAGCCAGAGGAAACUCUGGUGGAGGCUCGCAGCGGUUCUGACGUGCAAAUCGAUCGUCAAACAUGGGCAUGGGGGCGAAAGACUAAUCGAACCUUCUAGUAGCUGGUUUCCGCCGAA